RNAcentral lists this ribosomal RNA (2263 nucleotides) under Escherichia coli. RNAcentral describes it as "partial 23S ribosomal RNA". It matches the Rfam family "Bacterial large subunit ribosomal RNA", at positions 550 to 2798 of the family's 2925-position model. Lineage: Bacteria; Pseudomonadati; Pseudomonadota; Gammaproteobacteria; Enterobacterales; Enterobacteriaceae. The record is from RNAcentral.
CUGAAACCGUGUACGUACAAGCAGUGGGAGCACGCUUAGGCGUGUGACUGCGUACCUUUUGUAUAAUGGGUCAGCGACUUAUAUUCUGUAGCAAGGUUAACCGAAUAGGGGAGCCGAAGGGAAACCGAGUCUUAACUGGGCGUUAAGUUGCAGGGUAUAGACCCGAAACCCGGUGAUCUAGCCAUGGGCAGGUUGAAGGUUGGGUAACACUAACUGGAGGACCGAACCGACUAAUGUUGAAAAAUUAGCGGAUGACUUGUGGCUGGGGGUGAAAGGCCAAUCAAACCGGGAGAUAGCUGGUUCUCCCCGAAAGCUAUUUAGGUAGCGCCUCGUGAAUUCAUCUCCGGGGGUAGAGCACUGUUUCGGCAAGGGGGUCAUCCCGACUUACCAACCCGAUGCAAACUGCGAAUACCGGAGAAUGUUAUCACGGGAGACACACGGCGGGUGCUAACGUCCGUCGUGAAGAGGGAAACAACCCAGACCGCCAGCUAAGGUCCCAAAGUCAUGGUUAAGUGGGAAACGAUGUGGGAAGGCCCAGACAGCCAGGAUGUUGGCUUAGAAGCAGCCAUCAUUUAAAGAAAGCGUAAUAGCUCACUGGUCGAGUCGGCCUGCGCGGAAGAUGUAACGGGGCUAAACCAUGCACCGAAGCUGCGGCAGCGACGCUUAUGCGUUGUUGGGUAGGGGAGCGUUCUGUAAGCCUGUGAAGGUGUGCUGUGAGGCAUGCUGGAGGUAUCAGAAGUGCGAAUGCUGACAUAAGUAACGAUAAAGCGGGUGAAAAGCCCGCUCGCCGGAAGACCAAGGGUUCCUGUCCAACGUUAAUCGGGGCAGGGUGAGUCGACCCCUAAGGCGAGGCCGAAAGGCGUAGUCGAUGGGAAACAGGUUAAUAUUCCUGUACUUGGUGUUACUGCGAAGGGGGGACGGAGAAGGCUAUGUUGGCCGGGCGACGGUUGUCCCGGUUUAAGCGUGUAGGCUGGUUUUCCAGGCAAAUCCGGAAAAUCAAGGCUGAGGCGUGAUGACGAGGCACUACGGUGCUGAAGCAACAAAUGCCCUGCUUCCAGGAAAAGCCUCUAAGCAUCAGGUAACAUCAAAUCGUACCCCAAACCGACACAGGUGGUCAGGUAGAGAAUACCAAGGCGCUUGAGAGAACUCGGGUGAAGGAACUAGGCAAAAUGGUGCCGUAACUUCGGGAGAAGGCACGCUGAUAUGUAGGUGAAGUCCCUCGCGGAUGGAGCUGAAAUCAGUCGAAGAUACCAGCUGGCUGCAACUGUUUAUUAAAAACACAGCACUGUGCAAACACGAAAGUGGACGUAUACGGUGUGACGCCUGCCCGGUGCCGGAAGGUUAAUUGAUGGGGUCAGCGCAAGCGAAGCUCUUGAUCGAAGCCCCGGUAAACGGCGGCCGUAACUAUAACGGUCCUAAGGUAGCGAAAUUCCUUGUCGGGUAAGUUCCGACCUGCACGAAUGGCGUAAUGAUGGCCAGGCUGUCUCCACCCGAGACUCAGUGAAAUUGAACUCGCUGUGAAGAUGCAGUGUACCCGCGGCAAGACGGAAAGACCCCGUGAACCUUUACUAUAGCUUGACACUGAACAUUGAGCCUUGAUGUGUAGGAUAGGUGGGAGGCUUAGAAGUGUGGACGCCAGUCUGCAUGGAGCCGACCUUGAAAUACCACCCUUUAAUGUUUGAUGUUCUAACGUUGACCCGUAAUCCGGGUUGCGGACAGUGUCUGGUGGGUAGUUUGACUGGGGCGGUCUCCUCCUAAAGAGUAACGGAGGAGCACGAAGGUUGGCUAAUCCUGGUCGGACAUCAGGAGGUUAGUGCAAUGGCAUAAGCCAGCUUGACUGCGAGCGUGACGGCGCGAGCAGGUGCGAAAGCAGGUCAUAGUGAUCCGGUGGUUCUGAAUGGAAGGGCCAUCGCUCAACGGAUAAAAGGUACUCCGGGGAUAACAGGCUGAUACCGCCCAAGAGUUCAUAUCGACGGCGGUGUUUGGCACCUCGAUGUCGGCUCAUCACAUCCUGGGGCUGAAGUAGGUCCCAAGGGUAUGGCUGUUCGCCAUUUAAAGUGGUACGCGAGCUGGGUUUAGAACGUCGUGAGACAGUUCGGUCCCUAUCUGCCGUGGGCGCUGGAGAACUGAGGGGGGCUGCUCCUAGUACGAGAGGACCGGAGUGGACGCAUCACUGGUGUUCGGGUUGUCAUGCCAAUGGCACUGCCCGGUAGCUAAAUGCGGAAGAGAUAAGUGCUGAAAGCAUCUAAGCACGAAACUUGCC